This 440-nucleotide ribosomal RNA is filed under the name uncultured bacterium. Its description in RNAcentral is "partial 16S ribosomal RNA". It matches the Rfam family "Bacterial small subunit ribosomal RNA", at positions 338 to 795 of the family's 1533-position model. The record is from RNAcentral.
CCUACGGGAGGCAGCAGUGGGGGAUAUUGCACAAUGGGGGAAACCCUGAUGCAGCGACGCCGCGUGUGGGAAGACGGUCCUCUGGAUUGUAAACCACUGUCCCCAGGGACGAAGAUGACGGUACCUGGGGAGGAAGCUCCGGCUAACUACGUGCCAGCAGCCGCGGUAAUACGUAGGGAGCGAGGGUUGUCCGGAAUUACUGGGUGUAAGGGGAGCGUAGGCGGGACUGCAAGUUGGGUGUCAAAUCUACCGGCUCAACCGGUAGCCGCACUCAAAACUGCAGUUCUUGAGUGAAGUAGAGGCAGGCGGAAUUCCUAGUGUAGCGGUGAAAUGCGUAGAUAUUAGGAGGAACACCAGUGGCGAAGGCGGCCUGCUGGGCUUUUACUGACGCUGAGGCUCGAAAGUGUGGGGAGCAAACAGGAUUAGAUACCCUGGUAGUC